AAGAAGAAGAAGAAGAAGAAUGGUCUUUCAAUUGGAGUCUCUACUCACUGUCUCAGUGCUGCAAAUAAUGUUGGAAUUAGCGAUAUCAGCAGCUGCAACAACUCUAGCAGGCCGAGGCUGUGAAGCCAGAUGUGGAGAUAUUGAUAUUCAAUACCCAUUUGGUAUUCGAGCUGAUUGUUCAAUGGACAAAUGGUUUGUAAUUGAUUGCAUUAAAAGCGCAAACUCUAGUAGAGCUUUCAUAAGCAGCAUCAACUUGGAGUUGAUAAAUAUCGACUAUGCACGCAGCAGCUUACUAGUUAAGGGUCCCGUAUUCUCCUACAAUUGUACCCGUCCUAACACCGGCCAAGAUGUGAAUCUAAGACGGACAUCUUUCACCUUUUCUGGUAGCAAUAAAUUCACCGUUGUGGGCUGCAACAACCGUGCUUCGCUAUCCUCUUCUGAUCCAGACGGUGAAGGAUGCCAACCAACCUGACUACAAGCACCAACUCACAAAUAUCACAUCUUCAUUUAUAUAAAUUCAUACUUUAAAGCUCCUCGAAAAUCAAUAAUCCAAUAAUGAAAAUCAAUCCCAAUAAUGAAAAGCAAUCACAUACUUCACUUUUCAUAUUAAUAAUUUAAUGAAAUUUCGACAACAUUUCCUCUUAAAAUUAAACUAAACUCCCUGUCAUAAACUUAAAUCCACAAUUCAAAAAUUAUAUCAACAUAUCUAUAUUCCUAACUUAUAUCUCUAUAUAAAUAUUUUUCCCAACACUUCCUACUCAAAUCUCAAUUAAAAUAUUUCAUAAUAUAUCCAUAACACUAAAAAUCCAACUAAACAUAUAUAAUUCUUCUAAAAAAUAUUCCACAAUCAUAUAAAAAUUCAAAAACUUCAUAUCCUAUCUCAAAAUAAUUUUAGUUCCAUCAAAAUCACUUAUUCAAUUUAACACAACCAUUAAUAUCCAAUCUAGUAGCUUGAACAUUCAAAUUUGUAUAUAAUGAUCCAACCGUCUGAUAAAUCCCAAAUUUUAACUAUAUGUUCAAGACAUCCAUAUACAAUAUCAAUACCAUUUUUAGCAUCCAAUUAUCACUACAUCACGAGAUAUCAACAUAUUUAUCCACCCCUUCAAAUUCUGAAUUUUUCAGAACUAAUACUUACUUAGACAACUCACUCAAAAUAAUUUAUAUCUCAUAAACUACAAAUUCAAAAUUCACCAAAUUUUAACACAAUAGCCCCAACAUCCUAAAAAUCAUCUCCACUAAAUUUCAUAAUUUUCUAAACAUUCUAACUAUUUAUUUUUAUCAAAUUUCAGUAGCCAAAAUUCAUAAUUCCCAAUACAGACAGCCUAUGUUCAACAAUUUAUUUCUCCAAAUC
RNAcentral lists this unclassified non-coding RNA (1351 nucleotides) under Hevea brasiliensis (rubber tree). Lineage: Eukaryota; Viridiplantae; Streptophyta; Magnoliopsida; Malpighiales; Euphorbiaceae. The record is from RNAcentral.